AAACCAACGUGAGUAACCUGCCCCGAAGACUGGGAUAACGACCGGAAACGGUCGCUAAUACCGGAUACCCCCAUUGGAUCGCAUGGUCCGAUGAGGAAAUGAAUUUCGCUUCGGGAGGGGCUCGCGGGCUAUCAGCUUGUUGGUGGGGUAAUGGCCCACCAAGGCUGCAACGGCUAGCUGGUCUGAGAGGACGACCAGCCACACUGGGACUGAGACACGGCCCAG
RNAcentral lists this ribosomal RNA (225 nucleotides) under uncultured bacterium. RNAcentral describes it as "partial 16S ribosomal RNA". It matches the Rfam family "Bacterial small subunit ribosomal RNA", at positions 109 to 334 of the family's 1533-position model. The record is from RNAcentral.